CAGCAGCCACGGUAAUACAGAGGGUGCGAGCGUUAAUCGGAUUUACUGGGCGUAAAGCGUGCGUAGGCGGCUAAUUGAGUCGGAUGUGAAAUCCCCGAGCUUAACUUGGGAAUUGCAUUCGAUACUGGUUAGCUAGAGUGUGGGAGAGGAUGGUAGAAUUCCAGGUGUAGCGGUGAAAUGCGUAGAGAUCUGGAGGAAUACCGAUGGCGAAGGCAGCCAUCUGGCCUAACACUGACGCUGAGGUACGAAAGCAUGGGGAGCAAACAGGAUUAGAUACCCGAGUAGUCCCUGUCUCUUAUAC
RNAcentral lists this ribosomal RNA (301 nucleotides) under uncultured bacterium. Its description in RNAcentral is "partial 16S ribosomal RNA". It matches the Rfam family "Bacterial small subunit ribosomal RNA", at positions 509 to 807 of the family's 1533-position model. The record is from RNAcentral.